RNAcentral lists this ribosomal RNA (1346 nucleotides) under Lactiplantibacillus plantarum. Its description in RNAcentral is "bacterial SSU rRNA". It matches the Rfam family "Bacterial small subunit ribosomal RNA", at positions 76 to 1411 of the family's 1533-position model. Lineage: Bacteria; Bacillati; Bacillota; Bacilli; Lactobacillales; Lactobacillaceae. The record is from RNAcentral. RNAcentral also lists the same sequence under 1 other name.
GAUUUACAUUUGAGUGAGUGGCGAACUGGUGAGUAACACGUGGGAAACCUGCCCAGAAGCGGGGGAUAACACCUGGAAACAGAUGCUAAUACCGCAUAACAACUUGGACCGCAUGGUCCGAGUUUGAAAGAUGGCUUCGGCUAUCACUUUUGGAUGGUCCCGCGGCGUAUUAGCUAGAUGGUGGGGUAACGGCUCACCAUGGCAAUGAUACGUAGCCGACCUGAGAGGGUAAUCGGCCACAUUGGGACUGAGACACGGCCCAAACUCCUACGGGAGGCAGCAGUAGGGAAUCUUCCACAAUGGACGAAAGUCUGAUGGAGCAACGCCGCGUGAGUGAAGAAGGGUUUCGGCUCGUAAAACUCUGUUGUUAAAGAAGAACAUAUCUGAGAGUAACUGUUCAGGUAUUGACGGUAUUUAACCAGAAAGCCACGGCUAACUACGUGCCAGCAGCCGCGGUAAUACGUAGGUGGCAAGCGUUGUCCGGAUUUAUUGGGCGUAAAGCGAGCGCAGGCGGUUUUUUAAGUCUGAUGUGAAAGCCUUCGGCUCAACCGAAGAAGUGCAUCGGAAACUGGGAAACUUGAGUGCAGAAGAGGACAGUGGAACUCCAUGUGUAGCGGUGAAAUGCGUAGAUAUAUGGAAGAACACCAGUGGCGAAGGCGGCUGUCUGGUCUGUAACUGACGCUGAGGCUCGAAAGUAUGGGUAGCAAACAGGAUUAGAUACCCUGGUAGUCCAUACCGUAAACGAUGAAUGCUAAGUGUUGGAGGGUUUCCGCCCUUCAGUGCUGCAGCUAACGCAUUAAGCAUUCCGCCUGGGGAGUACGGCCGCAAGGCUGAAACUCAAAGGAAUUGACGGGGGCCCGCACAAGCGGUGGAGCAUGUGGUUUAAUUCGAAGCUACGCGAAGAACCUUACCAGGUCUUGACAUACUAUGCAAAUCUAAGAGAUUAGACGUUCCCUUCGGGGACAUGGAUACAGGUGGUGCAUGGUUGUCGUCAGCUCGUGUCGUGAGAUGUUGGGUUAAGUCCCGCAACGAGCGCAACCCUUAUUAUCAGUUGCCAGCAUUAAGUUGGGCACUCUGGUGAGACUGCCGGUGACAAACCGGAGGAAGGUGGGGAUGACGUCAAAUCAUCAUGCCCCUUAUGACCUGGGCUACACACGUGCUACAAUGGAUGGUACAACGAGUUGCGAACUCGCGAGAGUAAGCUAAUCUCUUAAAGCCAUUCUCAGUUCGGAUUGUAGGCUGCAACUCGCCUACAUGAAGUCGGAAUCGCUAGUAAUCGCGGAUCAGCAUGCCGCGGUGAAUACGUUCCCGGGCCUUGUACACACCGCCCGUCACACCAUGAGAGU